GCGCUUGUUGUUCAGCGGUAGAAUGCUGGCCUCCCAAGUCAGCGGCCCGGGUUCAAUUCCCGGCAAGCGCA
This 71-nucleotide transfer RNA is filed under the name Promethearchaeota archaeon. RNAcentral describes it as "Candidatus Lokiarchaeota archaeon (anaerobic digester metagenome) tRNA-Gly". It matches the Rfam family "tRNA". From Rfam's summary of the family: Transfer RNA (tRNA) molecules are approximately 80 nucleotides in length. The record is from RNAcentral. Lineage: Archaea; Promethearchaeati; Promethearchaeota.